GAAACUCCCCCCCCCCAGGGGGGAAAAGAAGUCGAAAUGGGCAAUCCGCAGCCAAGUCCUACAGCCUUCCUCUUGUCGGGGAGGCCACGGACGCUGUUCACAGGCCAAAUGGUAGUGGGUGAACCUACCGGGUUCGCUUAAGAUAUGGUCGGUCUCUGGGCGAAAGCCUAGGGGUAAGUUUCACUGAAACCCUCCACAACGUUCCGUAGGUGAACCUGCGGAAGGAUCAUUAAUGAGUUAGGGUCUUCCUAGGCCCGACCUCCCAACCCUUUGUUUACUAGACCUCAGUUGCUUCGGCAGGCCCGUCUUAAUCUGACCGCUGGAGGACCGCUUAAUGCGGGCGUUGCCUCUGGCCAGUGUCUGCCGACAGCCUAAUCUCCUAACUCUGGAUCAAUCAUGAUUUACAAUGUCUAAGUGAUUUUAUUCAAUUAAAAGCAAAAACUUUCAACAACGGAUCUCUUGGUUCUGGCAUCGAUGAAGAACGCAGCGAAAUGCGAUAAGUAAUGCGAAUUGCAGAAUUCCAGUGAGUCAUCGAAUCUUUGAACGCACAUUGCGCCCUUUGGUAUUCCGAAGGGCAUGCCUGUUCGAGCGUCAUUAUCACCCCCUCAAGCCCCUGUGCUUGGUGUUGGACGGCUUGGUGGAGUAAGUUCACGCUUUCCACCCCUCCUAAAGACAAUGACGGCGGCCUGCGGAGCCCCCGGUACACUGAGCUUCUUAACUGAGCACGUAUCGGAUGAAGGGCACCCGGGACCCGGUCUUCUCCCUCACGGGAACACGUUUUUUUCUAAGGUUGACCUCGGAUCAGGUAG
This 809-nucleotide ribosomal RNA is filed under the name Fonsecaea monophora. Its description in RNAcentral is "eukaryotic LSU rRNA". The stretch from base 440 to 594 matches the Rfam family "5.8S ribosomal RNA". Lineage: Eukaryota; Fungi; Ascomycota; Eurotiomycetes; Chaetothyriales; Herpotrichiellaceae. The record is from RNAcentral.